AAAUAGCUGCCUGUGCCUUUAAGAGAAAACGAUGAUGUUAUUUUGCAUGGUUGGAGUAGAAUGAAGAAUUGCCAUCUUCUAGAAAGGACGAUGUUCAAAUGCUUUCCCCAGGCUUGGUGCUGAAUGGCCCUAGCAUUUAUUUCAGAUUUCCAGCACCUGCUUUAAGAUGAUAUUUGAAGAUGUAUCUGCCUUUUAAUUCUUCCAGGAAGGUGGUGGCAUGCUCAGACAAAGCAGCUUCUACAGGACCAAUCAAAGGUGUUAUUGUCUUUUCUGAACUUUUUUUUAUGAUUGCACGACUUUGCUGGGCAUUAAGAAAUUAAAGGCUGCAGGCCUUUCCCAUCAGUGAGUUGCUUAUAGGCGAAGAAACUGGAGGAGCUGGACUUGGUGUGGACUGUGAUGCUGCCUGCAACAGAGAGGCAUCAGUGUACAAGGGAAGUUUGCAGUCUAACAGUGAGUGAUUUUCUUCAUCACUUUUCUUGUGAUCCUGUUGGAUAUUGGUGGGGUGGAAUGCUGGAAGUCCAAUUCAUUGGUUUAUUGACAAAUGGUGGGGGGCAGACAGUGGGGUAGCUGAUUGGCCUCAGUCAUAGUUAGUACUAGGCCUCAACCUGUGGUGUCACUCGGUUGCAGCCACCCAGUGUGAGAUGUUGAAGUAGGGUGCUCCACUGGAGCAUUGGAGGCGGCAUGGCACACUGUUCAUGCUUCAGUCAGUGCUGCUCCCCAGAAGACAAGUUCAAUUGUGCUGGCCUGCAGUUUGCUGCAAUUUUCAUAGACUUAGGGUCCUGGACUAUAUAUUGUUGUGUGAUUGUAUUUUACUGAUCUAUUAUGCUUGCUAUCUUAUAUGUGCUACGUGUGCUUUAUGCUGUGUAUGACUGUUGGUACUGUGUUUUGCACUUUGGCCCCAGAAUAACACUGUUUCGACUGGCUGUAUUUAUGGGUAUUCAUGUAUGGUUGAAUGGCAACUAAACUUGGAUUUGAACUUAAUCCCACGUGUUCUCUCCACUUCUCAUACACACCUGAAUUCUGUCAGAUCAUUUGAUAGUUUGAAGUGCUUUCUUCUCCAGUUCAUACAGACCCAAGAUCUCACUCAGUGGGCAAUGAGGUCAUUUGGACUGAUGACAUCCACACAUCAUUGUUCCAUGAAUUGUGUGUUGGCAGUCAUCGUCCGAACUAACACUGACUAUUAUAGCUGCAAAGCAUGAACAGUUCAGAUAAAAUCUCAUUGCAAUGUAAAUGAUUUAAGGUAUUUUUAUCUUGUGGAUCCUAAUUGCAGAUAUAAAAUAAUG
This is a long non-coding RNA of Hypanus sabinus (Atlantic stingray), 1283 nucleotides long. RefSeq lists it as uncharacterized. The record is from RefSeq and is a predicted model, not a curated record. Lineage: Eukaryota; Metazoa; Chordata; Chondrichthyes; Myliobatiformes; Dasyatidae. The transcript is spliced from 3 exons.